GAUGAACGCUAGCGGCAGGCCUAAUACAUGCAAGUCGGACGGGAUUGGAGAGCUUGCUUUCCAUGAGAGUGGCGCACGGGUGCGUAACACGUAUGUAACCUACCUUGUUCAGGGGGAUAGCCUCUCGAAAGAGAGAUUAAGACCGCAUAACAUUGCGAUGUGGCAUCACAUUGUAAUCAAAUAUUUAUAGGAACAAGAUGGGCAUGCGGAACAUUAGCUAGUUGGUAAGGUAACGGCUUACCAAGGCUACGAUGUUUAGGGGAUCUGAGAGGAUGACCCCCCAAACUGGUACUGGGACACGGACCAGACUCCUACGGGAGGCAGCAGUAAGGAAGAUUGGUCAAUGGGCGGAAGCCUGAACCAGCCAUGCCGCGUGCAGGAAGACGGCCCUAUGGGUUGUAAACUGCUUUUGCAGGGGAAUAAACCUUGGUACGUGUACCAAGCUGAAUGUACUCUGAGAAUAAGGAUCGGCUAACUCCGUGCCAGCCGCCGCCGUAA
RNAcentral lists this ribosomal RNA (498 nucleotides) under uncultured bacterium. RNAcentral's name for it is "partial 16S ribosomal RNA". It matches the Rfam family "Bacterial small subunit ribosomal RNA", at positions 28 to 523 of the family's 1533-position model. The record is from RNAcentral.